This 305-nucleotide ribosomal RNA is filed under the name uncultured bacterium. Its description in RNAcentral is "bacterial SSU rRNA". It matches the Rfam family "Bacterial small subunit ribosomal RNA", at positions 333 to 655 of the family's 1533-position model. The record is from RNAcentral.
UGGAGCCUACGGGGGGCAGCAGUGGGGGAUAUUGCACAAUGGGGGAAACCCUGAUGCAGCGACGCCGCGUGGGUGAAGAAGCGCCUCGGCGCGUAAAGCCCUGUCAGCAGGGAAGAAAAUGACGGUACCUGAAGAAGAAGCCCCGGCUAACUACGUGCCAGCAGCCGCGGUAAUACGUAGGGGGCAAGCGUUAUCCGGAUUUACUGGGUGUAAAGGGGGCGUAGACGGCGGUGCAAGCCAGAUGUGAAAGCCUGGGGCUCAACCCCGGGACUGCAUUUGGAACUGUGCUGCUAGAGUGUCGGAGG